GCUAGCAUGGUGUAGUGGUUUGAGUGUUGAACUAUGACUCUGGAGAGCAGGGUUCAAAUCCCUGCUCUGCCA
Molecule: non-coding RNA, 72 nt
Organism: Phrynosoma platyrhinos (Desert horned lizard)
Lineage: Eukaryota; Metazoa; Chordata; Lepidosauria; Squamata; Phrynosomatidae
Source: the annotation of a GenBank genome assembly